This 253-nucleotide ribosomal RNA is filed under the name uncultured bacterium. RNAcentral describes it as "partial 16S ribosomal RNA". It matches the Rfam family "Bacterial small subunit ribosomal RNA", at positions 524 to 776 of the family's 1533-position model. The record is from RNAcentral.
UACGUAGGGGGCAAGCGUUGUCCGGAAUCAUUGGGCGUAAGGCGCGUGUAGGCGGCCUUGUAAGUCCGUUCUGAAAGCCCGGGGCUCAACCCCGGGAGGCGGAUGGAUACUGCAAGGCUCGAGUACGGAAGAGGCGAGUGGAAUUCCCGGUGUAGCGGUGAAAUGCGCAGAUAUCGGGAGGAACACCAAUGGCGAAGGCAGCUCGCUGGGACGUUACUGACGCUGAGACGCGAAAGCGUGGGGAGCAAACAGG